RNAcentral lists this ribosomal RNA (433 nucleotides) under uncultured bacterium. Its description in RNAcentral is "partial 16S ribosomal RNA". It matches the Rfam family "Bacterial small subunit ribosomal RNA", at positions 29 to 507 of the family's 1533-position model. The record is from RNAcentral.
AACGAACGCUGGCGGCAUGCCUAACACAUGCAAGUCGAACGAGACCUUCGGGUCUAGUGGCGCACGGGUGCGUAACGCGUGGGAACCUGCCCUUAGGUUCGGAAUAACUCCCCGAAAGGGGUGCUAAUACCGGAUAAUGUCUUCGGACCAAAGAUUUAUCGCCUUUGGAUGGGCCCGCGUUGGAUUAGCUAGUUGGUAGGGUAAAAGCCUACCAAGGCGACGAUCCAUAGCUGGUCUGAGAGGAUGAUCAGCCACACUGGGACUGAGACACGGCCCAGACUCCUACGGGAGGCAGCAGUGGGGAAUAUUGGACGAUGGGCGAAAGCCUGAUCCAGCAAUGCCGCGUGAGUGAGGAAGGCCGUAGGGUUGUAAAGCUCUUUUACACGGGAUGAUAAUGACAGUACCGGGAGAAUAAGCUCCGGCUAACUCCGUG